GCUUAUACUCGACCGUCAGCGGCACGUGCGAUCGCGCGAGCUUUCGCGAGCGAGCGCGGUCACGAAGCCCUGACGAGUAGGAGGGUCGCGGCGGUGAGCGCAGAAGGGCUGGCCGCGAGGCCGUCUGGAGCCGCCGUCGGUGCAGAUCUUGGUGGUAGUAGCAAAUACUCCAGCGAGGCCCUGGAGGACUGACGUGGAGAAGGGUUUCGUGUGAACAGCCGUUGCACACGAGUCAGUCGAUCCUAAGCCCUAGGCGAAAGCCGAUGUCGAUGCGGUGUAGUUUUUACGAUAAUCGAUCAUCAUCAAUACUACUAUGACGACGACGACGACGGCGGCGACGAAAU
Molecule: ribosomal RNA, 344 nt
Filed under: Echinodera hystrix
Lineage: Eukaryota; Metazoa; Arthropoda; Insecta; Coleoptera; Curculionidae
Description: eukaryotic LSU rRNA
Rfam family: Eukaryotic large subunit ribosomal RNA
Source: RNAcentral